Long non-coding RNA from Acanthochromis polyacanthus (spiny chromis), 2510 nucleotides. RefSeq lists it as uncharacterized. The record is from RefSeq and is a predicted model, not a curated record. Lineage: Eukaryota; Metazoa; Chordata; Actinopteri; Pomacentridae. The transcript is spliced from 2 exons.
UGUUCAUGAGUGAUGGAAAAUGGAACUAGAGAUGGACAGGUGGAUUGUUGCAGCGUCAGCAGUAAUGAAGGCGUUGUAUCAAACCGUCGUGGUGAAGAGGGAGCUGAGCCUCAAGGAGAAGAUCUCAGUUUACCAUCCAUCUACGUUCCAACCCUCACCUAUGGUCAUGAGCUCUGGGUAGUGACCCAAAGAAUGACAUCGUGGAUACAAGCGUCUGAAAUGAGCUUCCUCUGUAGGGUGUCUGGGCUCAGCCUUAGAGAUAGGAGGAGAAGAUCAGACAUCUGGAGGGAGCUCAGAGUAGAGCUGCUGAUCCUUCACCUCUGAAGGAACCAGUGGAGGUGGUUUGGACAUCUGAUUCAGAUGGAUGGAUGGACUGCAUCAGACUGCUGGUGUUUUGUGUGGAUGUGUUGAGAACAUCUGGAGGUUGUCCACUCGUUCUCCAUCCAUGGUCUGUCUUUGGUAAAUAAAGAUCUAAGUCCUGCAGGUGUUUUUGUGGAGAGUGUCAGCAGAUGUGAUAAACUUUAGGCUGGGCAGGUUUGGUUUCUAAAAGCAGCAGUGAGGAGCUAAAAAUAAGCUGCUGAUGUCAGCCGGGUGGAGCUUAUUUUAGGAGACGUCAGCUUCAGAACACAGAGUGACACGUUCUAAAAACAGCAGCAGAGUGUAGCAGAGUGCAUCUGUGUGCAUUCUCACCCUCUCCAAAGUGUAUUUUGUGUAUAUUUUGUGUGUUGUGUAUAUAUUGUGUGUCUGUGUUGUGUAUAUAUUGUGUAAUUUGUGUGUCUCACCCUCUCCAGAGUGUAUUUUAUGUGUUGUGUAUGUUGUGUGUCUCACCCUCUCCAGAGUGUAUUUUGUGUGUGUUGUGUGUCUGUGUUGUGUGUCUCUUGUGUACAUUUGUACCUACAGAUUUUAAAGCUAGAUCUGGUCUUAGGAUUAUUCAUGUCAGUGUUCAGAGUUUAGUCUCUAAAUUGGACAUGAUAAAGACCAGGGGCCUGUUUCAUGAAGCAGGUUUAGUGAAAACUCUGAGUUUCUUAACCCUGAAAUGAGGGAAACUCAGAGUUUUCCGUUUCACGAAGCGAGGUAACUUAACCCAGAGACAGAGGGGUAACUCUAGCCUGUUUCACAAAGAGGGGUAACUUCAACUCUGGGUCAGUUACCGCAGUAACAGACUCUAUGACUCUAACCUGGUCACCAGCAGGUUUAUCUGAGAAAACCUCCAGUUUCUCUCCGUCUCCGCCCUCUUUCAGCCACACGCUGUUUCAUUUCCUCAUUCAUUCAGUCAGUAAGCGAGCGAGUUUUGGCGUAGAACAGCUUUUAUUAACGAUCCAGUGGAUAAAGGAGCAGCAUUACUGCACAGAUCAUUAAAUAUUCGUCGGUAGAUUGUUAUCAGACCGAGCAUAAAUGUUCUCGCAUUUCCGGACAAUUAUCGGUUUGAGCGGUACCGUUUCGUAAUCGUUUCAAGUCCAUAAUCUACAUAAACAACCUAAUCCGUCCUUACAUUUACAUUACCAACCAGUCAUGCUCUCACAUCCAGCAGAUAUUGUGUGUUGCGCUGCGGUUCUUUGCAAAUGGAAGUUUUUAUAUGAUGUCAGAGAUGCAGAGUAAGACAACUGUAUGGAGGACAGUCAGAAAAGUUUUCCUGGCUCUGAAAUGACUUUUACUCGUCAUUGUGGACAUAAACCUGUCAGAACAUCAAGGAGGAUCCACAGGAUUACAGGAUUUCCCAGUGUGAUUGGCUGCAUAGAUGCACACACAUCCCCAUCACAGCUCCCUCACAUCAUGAACAGGAAGUCCAUUCACAGCAUAAAUGUGCAGGUAGGCUACAGGUAGACUGACUACUGUUUCUAAAUGUUAAAGACUGCAUCAUAGUUCAACAUCUGUCAUUCUCUGCACUGUCCAGAUCAGAUGUGAUGCUGCAUACAUCAUUUCUAAUGUGGAGGCCACGUGGUCUGGGUCUGUUCAUGACUCCAGGAUUUAUGGAGAGUCUAACCUGAGCAACAGACUGCAGCGUGGUCAGCAGCAUAAAGAUUUUCACAAUAGAAUUCUCUUGUCUCCCUCCUUUAAUAUACUCUGAUGUAUCCACUAUACAUUACAGGAGAGUUUGAUGGCCUUCUGCUGGGUGACAGGGGUUACCAUGACAACCCAGGCUGAUGACCUCAUACCCUGACCCUGAACCAAGCCCCCAACAGAACUUCAACCGGACUCACUGCAGGACCAGAGCCCGGGUGGAGAUGACCAUAGGCCUGCUGAAAGCCCGUUUCCAGAGCCUACGUCUCCUCAGGGUGACCCCUGAGAGGGCCUGUGAUAUUACUGUGGCAUGUGUUGUUCUUCAUAAUAUUACCACUAUUAGAGGAGAGCAACACCCUGCCCUACAAACUGAAGACCCAGAUGAUGAGCCCAUCCACCUGCAGCUAUCCAGGACAGCAGAGCAGUCAGAGACACCGUAUGCAAUAAUCACUUUAGAGUUUAAGUCUCCAUCAUCACCACCACAGCAAAUAAAGACAUGAUACACAUUU